UACGAAGGGUGCAAGCGUUACUCGGAAUUACUGGGCGUAAAGCGUGCGUAGGUGGUUUGUUAAGUCUGAUGUGAAAGCCCUGGGCUCAACCUGGGAAUGGCAUUGGAUACUGGCGAGCUAGAGUGCGGUAGAGGGUAGUGGAAUUCCCGGUGUAGCAGUGAAAUGCGUAGAGAUCGGGAGGGACAUCUGUGGCGAAGGCGACUACCUGGACCAGCACUGACACUGAGGCACGAAAGCGUGGGGAGCAAACAGG
Molecule: ribosomal RNA, 253 nt
Filed under: uncultured bacterium
Lineage: Bacteria
Description: partial 16S ribosomal RNA
Rfam family: Bacterial small subunit ribosomal RNA
Source: RNAcentral